Long non-coding RNA from Cucurbita maxima (winter squash), 89 nucleotides. RefSeq lists it as uncharacterized. The record is from RefSeq and is a predicted model, not a curated record. The transcript is spliced from 3 exons. Lineage: Eukaryota; Viridiplantae; Streptophyta; Magnoliopsida; Cucurbitales; Cucurbitaceae.
CUUAUUGUGAGGUCCUACAUCGGUGGAGAGGGGAACGAAGCAUUCUUUAUAAGGGUGUGGAAACCUCUCCCUAGCAGAUGUGUUUUAAA